GGUUUGACGGUACCUAUAAARRAARCACCGGCUAACUCCGUGCCAGCAGCCGCGGUAAUACGGGGGGUGCAAGCGUUGUUCGGAAUUAUUGGGCGUARAGCGCGUGUAGGCGGUCUGAUUAGUCUGAUGUGAAAGCCCUGGGCUCAACCCAGGAAGUGCAUUGGAUACUGUCAGACUUGAAUACGGGAGAGGGUAGUGGAAUUCCUAGUGUAGGAGUGAAAUCCGUAGAUAUUAGGAGGAACACCGGUGGCGAAGGCGGCUACCUGGACCGAUAUUGACGCUGAGACGCGAAAGCGUGGGUAGCAAACAGGAUURGAUACCCUGGUAGUCCACGCCGUAAACGAUGAGAACUAGGUGUYGCGGGUA
RNAcentral lists this ribosomal RNA (366 nucleotides) under uncultured Geobacteraceae bacterium. Its description in RNAcentral is "bacterial SSU rRNA". It matches the Rfam family "Bacterial small subunit ribosomal RNA", at positions 466 to 831 of the family's 1533-position model. Lineage: Bacteria; Pseudomonadati; Thermodesulfobacteriota; Desulfuromonadia; Geobacterales; Geobacteraceae. The record is from RNAcentral.